UAGGUACUACUUUGAACUUGG
This is a non-coding RNA of Caenorhabditis elegans, 21 nucleotides long. Lineage: Eukaryota; Metazoa; Nematoda; Chromadorea; Rhabditida; Rhabditidae. The record is from Ensembl.